GACGAACGCUGGCGGCGUGCUUAACACAUGCAAGUCGAACGGAAAGGCCCUGCUUUUGUGGGGUGCUCGAGUGGCGAACGGGUGAGUAACACGUGAGUAACCUGCCCUUGACUUUGGGAUAACUUCAGGAAACUGGGGCUAAUAUCGGAUAGGAGCUCCUGCUGCAUGGUGGGGGUUGGAAAGUUUCGGCGGUUGGGGAUGGACUCGCGGCUUAUGAGCUUGUUGGUGAGGUAGUGGCUGACCAAGGCUUUGACGGGUAGCCGGCCUGAGAGGGUGGCCGGGCUCAUUGGGCCUGCGGUAGGGACCAGAAUCCUACGGGCGGCAACAGUGGGGAACAUUGCGCAGUGGGGGGACGCGUGAUGCAGCGGCGUCGCGAGCGGGAUGCCGGCUUUCGGGUUGUAAACAGAUUUCGAAUGUGACGAAGCGUGAGUGACGGUACUGGGUAAAGAAGCCCCGGCUAACUACGUG
RNAcentral lists this ribosomal RNA (468 nucleotides) under uncultured bacterium. RNAcentral describes it as "partial 16S ribosomal RNA". It matches the Rfam family "Bacterial small subunit ribosomal RNA", at positions 28 to 507 of the family's 1533-position model. The record is from RNAcentral.